Molecule: non-coding RNA, 878 nt
Organism: Odocoileus virginianus texanus
Lineage: Eukaryota; Metazoa; Chordata; Mammalia; Artiodactyla; Cervidae
Source: RefSeq, a predicted model, not a curated record
CAGGGGUUGAACCUGGGUUGCAGGCAGAUUCUUUAUCAUCUGAGCCACCAGGGAAGCCCCAAGGAUAUUAGAUAUUUGUUAAUUAGCAUAGAGCUGGAGCCUUUCAAGGCACUGUAGGAGAGAAAAGAUGAAUGAAAGAGUCCUAAGAAGCUUUUUGUCUAAUGGAGAAACAAACCAUACCCAUUCACCUGAAAACUGCAAUGAUGAAAUAUGAAAACUGCACCAUGAUGGAAUAUGCACAAUAUCAUCAAAAAAUGAUGAUAAAGCAAUGGUAAAGUUUGCUUGGGUGAAGGACUUAAAGGGAUCUGGGAGUUAAUGAGAGGACAUGGAGUGUGACUGGCUUCAUCAUGUGCUGACCCACAAUAUGCAUGGAGGUUGGCACACCAGUGAAGGACAUGACAGCCACCUGCACCAGGGUCCCACUGAUCAUGGAGAGUUUGUCUACUUCAACACUGUGAGGAAUAUGCUGUGAAGUACUGGAGAGACAAUGGCAUCCCUUUAGAGAAACUCAUCAUGGAGUUCACCACCUAUGGGAGGACCUUCCAGCUCAGCACUUCUGACACCUCAGUCUGUACCCCAGUUUUUGGAGCAGGGUCAUCUGGUCCUUACACACAUGAGGCUGGCUUCUGGGCUUACUAUGAGGUGCUGAUGAAUUAUGGGAGCUGGAUGAGAGCAAGCCACUCAUUGUUAGCAAGUUUUGCAAGUAUGAGAACUUUGAUUUUGCUCAUCCACGGGUAGUCAUGUCCUUCAGAGAAGAAAUAUAUCAAGAACUUGAGUCCUGGAUGAUUCUGCUGAACACCUGAAUUAAACAAUGCUGAUUAAGCCACCUCUUCUGGAUUUCUUGCAAUGAAUGUUAAUAAAUUUUUAUUUUAGUUAAA